AACGAACGCUGGCGGCAUGCCUAACACAUGCAAGUCGAACGAGACCUUCGGGUCUUGUGGCGCACGGGUGCGUAACGCGUGGGAACCUUCCCUUAGGUUCGGAAUAACUCCCCGACAGGGGUGCUAAUACCGGAUAAUGUCUUCGGACCAAAGAUUUAUCGCCUUUGGUUGGGCCCGCGUUGGAUUAGCUUGUUGGUAGGGUAAAAGCCUACCAAGGCGACGAUCCAUAGCUGGUCUGAGAGGAUGAUCAGCCACACUGGGACUGAGACACGGCCCAGACUCCUACGGGAGGCAGCAGUGGGGAAUAGUGGACAAUGGGCGAAAGCCUGAUCCAGCAAUGCCGGGUGAGUGAUGAAGGCCUGAGGGUUGUAAAGCUCUUUUACCCGGGAUGAUAAUGACAGUACCGGGAGAAUAAGCUCCGGCUAACUCCGUG
RNAcentral lists this ribosomal RNA (433 nucleotides) under uncultured bacterium. RNAcentral describes it as "partial 16S ribosomal RNA". It matches the Rfam family "Bacterial small subunit ribosomal RNA", at positions 29 to 507 of the family's 1533-position model. The record is from RNAcentral.